GUGAGUGCUUGCACUUUGCUGACGAGUGGCGGACGGGUGAGUAAUACUUGGGAAUGUGCCUUUGUGAGGGGGAUAACUAUUGGAAACGAUAGCUAAUACCGCAUAACGUCUUCGGACCAAAGGGGGCUUCGGCUCCCGCGCAAAGAGCAGCCCAAGCGAGAUUAGCUAGUUGGUGGGGUAAAGGCCUACCAAGGCGACGAUCUCUAGCUGUUCUGAGAGGAAGAUCAGCCACACUGGGACUGAGACACGGCCCAGACUCCUACGGGAGGCAGCAGUGGGGAAUAUUGCACAAUGGGGGAAACCCUGAUGCAGCCAUGCCGCGUGUGUGAAGAAGGCCUUCGGGUUGUAAAGCACUUUCAGUCGCGAGGAAAGGGUGUGUGUUAAUACCACGCAUCUGUGACGUUAACGACAGAAGAAGCACCGGCUAACUCCGUGCCAGCAGCCGCGGUAAUACGGAGGGUGCGAGCGUUAAUCGGAAUUACUGGGCGUAAAGCGCACGCAGGCGGUUAUAUAAGCUAGAUGUGAAAGCCCCGGGCUCAACCUGGGAAUAGCAUUUAGAACUGUAUGACUAGAGUCUUGGAGAGGGGAGUGGAAUUCCAGGUGUAGCGGUGAAAUGCGUAGAUAUCUGGAGGAACAUCAGUGGCGAAGGCGACUCCCUGGCCAAAGACUGACGCUCAUGUGCGAAAGUGUGGGUAGCGAACAGGAUUAGAUACCCUGGUAGUCCACACCGUAAACGCUGUCUACUAGCUGUUUGUGUAUUAUAUACGUGAGUAGCGAAGCUAACGCGCUAAGUAGACCGCCUGGGGAGUACGGCCGCAAGGU
Molecule: ribosomal RNA, 822 nt
Filed under: uncultured bacterium
Lineage: Bacteria
Description: bacterial SSU rRNA
Rfam family: Bacterial small subunit ribosomal RNA
Source: RNAcentral